GGGAGGCAAAUCCUGAUCGAUAGUUCAGGGAAAGCGAGCCAGCACUUCCUAGAGCACAUCGAUGAAGUGACUCUGGACGAUAUUACGUCGGUCGCGCAGAAGAUGUUGUCCUCAUGCCCUACCAUGGCGAGCUGGGGAGAUGUCGACAAGGUGCCUACUCAUGAAUACGUCUGCAAGCGGAUCGAGUCGCCCCUGAGUGACCUCAUGUGUGCGCUAAAAAGCUUAUUUUCUUGACGCUAGAUCACGUACAAUAGGUCCAUGGCUGGAGCUACCGUGCUGACCAGAGACUCAGCCUGUU
Lolium rigidum is the source of this 298-nucleotide long non-coding RNA. RefSeq lists it as uncharacterized. Lineage: Eukaryota; Viridiplantae; Streptophyta; Magnoliopsida; Poales; Poaceae. The transcript has 3 exons. The record is from RefSeq and is a predicted model, not a curated record.